Long non-coding RNA from Triticum dicoccoides, 629 nucleotides. RefSeq lists it as uncharacterized. The transcript has 3 exons. The record is from RefSeq and is a predicted model, not a curated record. Lineage: Eukaryota; Viridiplantae; Streptophyta; Magnoliopsida; Poales; Poaceae.
GCCCUCCUUGCGCGGCCGCCUCGCCGUCACUUCCUUGCGCCACCGUCUCGCCGUUACCCUCGGGCGCCGCCCCCUCCUCCGUCGCGCGGCCGCGCCACCUUCCCUUUGCCGGCAGGUCCUGCUCCUCCCGCGACAAGGUGCUCCGGCGGCAACGCCGGCAAGGUGCUCCGAUCCUGCUGGUCCCCUCCUCGUAUGCAACAACAACAACAGCAACCAGUGUGCUAUAAAACUUGAGGCAUGUCUACGUCAGAGGGUUCGGAGACUGCUGAUUCCAUGGAUGAGGAUACGAGUCAAAUACCACAUGUUAGAAGGUCCAAGGUAUGGGAGCAUUAUGAAGUAGAUUUGGUUCUCGUAGAUGGUGAUUUCAAGGCUGUGUGCAAAUACUGUGGAGCGCAACUUCACACCAAGUUUGGGACUAGCAGUUUGAGGACCCAUAUUGCAGAGGCUUGCCGAUCAAUCCAAGAUGCUUGCAGACAGAGGUUUUUGUUGACCAUGAAAAAAAACCAUCCGAAGGACUGUUUGUGUUUGAUGAGAAAGUUUGUCGUGAACGCAUGGUCAAGUAUUGCGUCCAUGCUGAGAUCCCCUUUCUUAAGUUUGAAGAUCCCCACCUUCAACCAUGGAUUGACUCA